GUUCAUUCAUCGUUGAUAUAGGUUGAUAAUAUUAUUUACAUCAGACGUGUUUUAUAAAUAUUUUAAAUAAAAUUUUUAGAUUUUUGUACACAAAAAUUGAACAUGUCUUCUAUUGUCCCAUUAUCGGACCACUGUCGGUGCUGUCUAACAGAAAAAAGUAAGGACUACUCCGUGUUCGCAACUUUAGAAGAAUUUGAGAGCAAAAUCUGUGAUUUGAUUGCAAAUUGCAGCGGAGUCACGAUCACAGAGAAAGAUGAUUACCCGAAGUUUAUCUGUGGGAAAUGUUAUUGCGAGCUAGUGGAGGCUACGCGUUUUCGAAAUCGCUGCAUCCAGUCGCAGAGUAUCUUGCACGAGAAACAAUCAUCUACGGUUUCCAGUCAGAUUGUAAGUCCGAUAUCUGAUGAACAAUCAAGUUAUUUACAACCUCAGAAUGAUGAGCUUGAUAUGGAAACCGAAUGGUUGGUCGAAAUAGAAGAUGAUCAGAAAGAUGUACUAGAUUUGGAAACAGAAUGGGUGAACGAAGUAAAAGAAGAGCCCAUUGAUUUUCAGCUGGAAUUUGAUCCCUUAGCUGAGGAAGCACAGCGAAACGAAUCGAAUGAUCCAAAAGUAAAAUCAAUUAAUAUCCAGCCGACAGCCCGUUUCAAUCUCGCGCGGUUGCUGGUUCCCUGUCUGCUGUGUAGCAAAAAAUUUGCCACCCGGGCCAACCUGCUCACUCAUAUGCGCUUCCAUCCGAAAAAGAAAUGCCUUAUGUGCGAUGAGGCGUUUAUAAGCUUAGCUGAACUUGCGAGACACCAAAGGGAAAAACAUCCCCCAGAAGAAGCUCAGGACGUUAAUGUCGUCAUGGCAAGCGGUUCAAAAAAUGAAAUACUAACGUACCCAUGCGAAGUCUGUGGUAAAGUGUUUACAUCGAAACUGCAGUUAUCUAAUCACAAGCCACGUCACAAAUCGUCGAUAAAAUGUGAGAUAUGUGACAAAAAAUUUAUUUUGGAAUCUAAUUACUUGAGCCAUCUGAAACAACACGAACGCGGUGAAGUUGAUCAGUGUCAGUCGUGCGGUAGACUCUUCCAUAGCAGGAGAAAAUUCACACGACACAAAUGCAAACGCGCGUUUAAUAAACCGAAUCAGUGUUUGGUUUGUUUUGAGGUUUUUGCAGAUCCCCUCAACCUGAUAAGGCACCGGCGUCAGCAUGAUCCGGAACGUAAAUCGCAUAAGUGCGAACAAUGCGGUAAAACUUUCAUCGAGGAAAGAAAUCUGGCGAUUCACCAGCGCUACCAUUCUGAUGAGGAUAUGCCGACUUGUAAAAUUUGUGGUAAACGAUUCCUACAUAUUACUCGUCUACGGAAACAUAUGCCAAUACAUAACGAACCCGACAACACUCCCGGAAAAUGUACUCUUUGCGACAAAGAAUUCCUUCGACAGUCUGAGCUCAAGCGGCACAUGCGAUGGCACAGUGGAGAAUUGCCGCACGAAUGCACUACAUGUGGUAAACUGUACCGAGAACGCCGGGACUUACUAAUGCACGAACGAAAGCAUACCGGAGAUAUGCCAUUCAAGUGCGACAUCUGUGAUAAAACGUAUGCCUCUCCCGACGUCUUCAGGCAACACAAAGCGUUCCACAAUCGGCCAGUAAAAACGCACCAAUGCACAAUAUGCGACAUUACGUUUAGUGCCGCCAACUAUCUGAAAUUUCACAUGAAGAAGCAUAUUAACGAAGAACAAAAAAAGAUUCGUAACGCGGAAGGGACAACGGAUCAGCUGCUGAGUAGCUAACGUGUCAGUUACUUGUACGAUAUUUCUAGAUUUGCUUUGCAUUGAAUUUUGAGAAAUACACGGUUGCGUACAUGAAAUGUUGAAAAAUGUUUGAGAAUCUUAUGUUUUGCAUGGUUGUCCUAUAGCACUAUUUUGAAUGCUUAAUUAGUUUAAUACUGGUUUGGUAGCAAAGGAGUACAAGGUGAUAGUCUCAGGAAGUCGAUGUAUGCUUGAACUAGGGCCCCUUUUUCAAAAUUAACGAAGAGGCGAAGGGCUUCGCCAGGUGAUGCGAGAUCGAGAGGUACCAAGAAACACAAGAAGGUUCCCGACAUAGUGGUACGCGUAGCGAACGAAACAGCCACUAAGGUGGGUAAAACGCCAAAGUCGUCACGGAAGGCAAACAGCAUGGAUAGGUCCGAAAAGCGAAAGUUCUUCAAGGGACGAAACAAAUGUGAAGCACAGGUACGGGAAGGAACUGCGCGUGAUGCGGAUUAACCCGGUACUCAAGGAGCUGUGCUCAGACGUUAAGAAAAUCAGGCGCACCCGCUCCGGAGAGAUGAUCCUGGAAUUGAAAAAGGAGCCGAAGUCACACAGCUCUACUUAUGAAAAGCUCACCGAGAAAGCUACGGACAAAAUGGCGGAACUGAAAGCCUCCGGAGGCAACCAUCCAAUGUAAGAACUUAUAUGAAAUAUCCUCGGAAGAAAAGCUAAGAGAAACUCUGAAAGGACAGUGCGAACUUGGAAAAGUGCAGAUACCGAUCCGAAUGAGAAAGAGACCUUUCGGCGCGCAAGCUACUUCGGUUAGGCUUCCAGUCGAAGCAGCAAACCACUUAAAACUGAGAAGAUCAAAGUUGACUGGUCGGUAUGUCCACCGGUAUGUCCUUAGCGACCGGAAGUGUGCUUCAAGGUCAAGAGUUCGGCCACCUGGCGAGAAUCUGCAGUGGACCUGGUAGGAGCAAAUUAUGCAUAAGGUGCGGGGAAGAAGGCCACAAGGCAAAAAACUGCCGACAGACAUGUUACAUGGCCUACGAUAUCCGACCUUCAAACAGGUGACUGCAACGAAAUCACAGUGGAGGUAACGCAAAUUAACCUCAACCACUACGACACAGCACAACAUUUGCUACGGCAAUCUGUAGCAGAGCGCAAAUGCAGAUCAUUUCGGAGCCAUACCGUAUCCUGGCCAGCGAUGGAAACUGGAUAUCAGAUAACGAUCGGAAGCAAUAGACAGUCGGAAGCUCGUGUGACCCAAUCAAACGAGCGAAGAUGGAAAACAACGAAUAUCAACAAGAGAGUCUUCGUCUAAAUGUUGAGGUGU
Topomyia yanbarensis is the source of this 3064-nucleotide RNA transcript. It is a transcript of the gene named zinc finger protein OZF-like, with no coding region annotated. Lineage: Eukaryota; Metazoa; Arthropoda; Insecta; Diptera; Culicidae. The transcript has 4 exons. The record is from RefSeq and is a predicted model, not a curated record.